UAGAUAAAUAAACACAUACAAUAUAUACAUUAACAUACAAUAAUAUAUUUAACUAAUGUAGACCACAAACCUUAUUUGUAAAUGUUUACUCUUAACAAGGUUGGUUGGUUAAGCAAAAGAAUGUCGAAAGUUUUUCUAAACUUUAAAAAUUAUACACUUCACAUAAUACGUAUUAGCAAGAGAUAAUGCGCAGUGUUCAACAAACUGUGAAAAAAACAGAGAAUUCUUGUGGAGAAAUGUCAACAUGGAAAUCAACAGAAGAAAAAUUCUUGAAAUUAUUCGAAAAAGUGUUGGUCACGUCCAAAGCUAUGUGAGGAAAUUCAAUGGAUAAUAAAGAGUUAAAGAUAACAUCAAAUCUCUUGAUGUCCGACAAUCCGAUCGAAAAUGCAUUUUCAAGAGGCAAAUUGAACAAUUAUGAAUGAUUUAGUAUCUAAACAGCCAGUACAAAUACAAGAACGACCUACAUAUCUGAAUAUUAUUAUGAAGUUGAAAACAUGUAUAAAGAAAUAACUGCUGAAUAUUUCCAGAGCUUCCAAAAUUUUAAAGAAGUUUAAAAAAGAAGUUCCCAAAACUACCCAUUGCCAUAAUUGGGAAUUACAAAAAUCAAAAAUUAAAAUAUUCUAUGGCGAGAUAAGGGAAUAUUUUGUAUUGUAUGAUUGUAAUAAACAGUUAUCAAGCGCAGAUGUUUUGCUACAUCAUCGUAUUUGCUUGAAUGGAGAAGCGGUGCGAUUAACAAAUAAAGGAAUUUGUUCACCACACACUCGGAUAGAAUUUUGCAUCAAACACCAUAAAUACUGCCAAUACUGAAAGCGUUAGGAGAUUACUGGAUACCACAAAAGGGUCUUAACGCAAAAGAGUCACUAGGCACACAAACCUGAAAAGUUGAUCAGUUCAUUGCUGUAGUCGUUGUUCGCAAAUUGGACAAAGAGCGCUUUAAAUUGUAUGAGCAAAUUGGACAAAGAGUGCUUUAAAUUGUUUGAGCAAACAAUAGAAGACGCUAGAGAAAUUCACAAAUUAUCGGAUUUUAAAGAUUUGCUUGAUCAAUAUUUAGAAAUGUUGGAUGAUCAAAAGUCAUAAAGCACAAGAGCUAGUGUGUGUGUACCUGUUGCAAAAUUUCCGGUCAUACAUUAAUCACAUGCAGAAAAUAUAUAUAUAAAGCAUACCAACUGAUAAUAGGCGUAAAUAUGCAAGUGACAACAAGGUCUGCUACAAGUGCCUGAAUAACUAAUGGGGAAUAUCUUGUAGCAGCAAUGUAAAGUACAAGAAAGAACAAGUCACAAAAACCACUUCACAAGCAGCAAAUCACAAAAACAUCGGAAGAAGCAGCACAGAUAUAACACUUGACAAGGAAUAAACUUUAUGGUCAAGGCGAUGCCGUAAUAGGUGAAGGAGAUCGAAAGUUCUUUUGAAAUAUAGUCAAUAUACGGAAAACGUAAAUGCCGUAGUUCCACCAGUUUUCACCAGGGCACUGCCUGAUCAAUGAUUUCAAAAUAUGGAAGAAACUAAGCAGGAUGCCGAUGGAAAAUUCAUUUAAAGAAGGCAAUGGAUGAAAACAAUUAAAUUGAGUGAGCGUGUUUUUCUGCAAAUGGUGCAACAUAUAACAAAUAUCAGGAUUUUGAAACAUCCGGUUGACUUUACUCCUUAUAUAUUAUUGAUGGUUUGUGAGGUACCUUAAUUUAACUUUUUUCUGUUAAUAAUAUGUAGUAAUGUCAAAAAUAGAUAAAAUCGGGUUAAUAUGUUACUACCCCUAUCUCCCACAUACCUAAUAAAAGAUUUCCAAACUUCUGAUUGGCUUUACACCGUA
Molecule: long non-coding RNA, 1804 nt
Organism: Bactrocera oleae (olive fruit fly)
Lineage: Eukaryota; Metazoa; Arthropoda; Insecta; Diptera; Tephritidae
Source: RefSeq, a predicted model, not a curated record